This 253-nucleotide ribosomal RNA is filed under the name uncultured bacterium. RNAcentral's name for it is "partial 16S ribosomal RNA". It matches the Rfam family "Bacterial small subunit ribosomal RNA", at positions 524 to 776 of the family's 1533-position model. The record is from RNAcentral.
UACGUAGGGUGCAAGCGUUAAUCGGAAUUACUGGGCGUAAAGCGUGCGCAGGCGGUUGGGUAAGACAGAUGUGAAAUCCCCGGGCUCAACCUGGGAACUGCAUUUGUGACUGCACAGCUGGAGUGCGGCAGAGGGGGAUGGAAUUCCGCGUGUAGCAGUGAAAUGCGUAGAUAUCGUGAGGAAGACCAGUGGCGAAGGCGGAUCUCUGGACAGUUCCUGACGCUGAGGCGCGAAGGCCAGGGGAGCAAACGGG